Molecule: non-coding RNA, 135 nt
Organism: Triticum aestivum (bread wheat)
Lineage: Eukaryota; Viridiplantae; Streptophyta; Magnoliopsida; Poales; Poaceae
Source: Rfam
CAACUACUCCCUCUGUCCCAAAUUUCUUGUCUUAGAUUUGUCUAGAUACAGAUGUAUGUAAUACUAACAUGUGACUUGAUACAUCCGUAUCUAGACAAAUCUAAGACAAGAAUUUUGGGACGGAGGGAGUACUUU